This 315-nucleotide ribosomal RNA is filed under the name uncultured eukaryote. RNAcentral's name for it is "partial 18S ribosomal RNA". It matches the Rfam family "Eukaryotic small subunit ribosomal RNA", at positions 1470 to 1796 of the family's 1831-position model. The record is from RNAcentral.
CCCUUAGAUGUCCUGGGCCGCACGCGUGCUACACUGACACUUGCAACGAGUACUUUGCUUUACCGAAAGGUAAUGCUAAUCAUCAAUAAGUGUCGUGAUGGGGAUAGAUCUUUGGAAUUAUGGAUCUUGAACGAGGAAUGCCUAGUAAGCGUAGGUCAUUAGCCUACGCUGAUUAAGUCCCUGCCCUUUGUACACACCGCCCGUCGCUCCUACCGAUUUCGAGUGGUCCGGUGAAACUUUUGGACCGUGCGACUUUAUUGUUGUCACGGAAAGUCAGUUAAACCAUNCNACUUAANGGAAGGAGAANUCGUANCA